This 2610-nucleotide long non-coding RNA is filed under the name Homo sapiens (human). RNAcentral's name for it is "non-protein coding lnc-ALX3-5:1". Lineage: Eukaryota; Metazoa; Chordata; Mammalia; Primates; Hominidae. The record is from RNAcentral.
UAAAAAUAAAAAUAAAAAAUAAUUUACAACUAAAAAACUUAUACAAGAUAAUUCAGUAACAUGGUUGGAUACAAAAUUAACCUAUUAAAUAUCUACACCUUCAGAUAUACAACAGCCAGUAGUAAGAAGAUAUAAAAAAUGGUUCAGUUACAAUAGCAACAACAACAAAAAAGAAGUGGGUGGAUAGAAAGUGAUAUAAGGAACAGAGAGAGAAAGAGCUGAAAGGAAGCACCCAGAUAGCCAUACAAUGCAGCCAAAUUAGCCCCAAAUGUGACUAGAGAGGACAGCAGAUAGGAGUCCACCCAGGGACCCCCCGAAAGCGAAGGACAGUUCCUGGUACAAGGCUGGCAGCCCGGAGCAUCUAACCUCAACAUCCAGCAACUUGGAGCCUCCUCCUUAGACAAAAAAAGCCCACAAUUCCAUCAAGAAUGUCAGUCAAAAUCCCAGGGAGGGAUCAGUCAGCUCAGCCCUCCUAUCCAGCCAGCUUUUGUGCCCUGGGAGCAGGCCCCUGGACUGUCCUCAGCCAAGACAGGAGAGGCCCAUCUCCCAAGGGCUAUGGCCUUGCUGCCCCUCAUCCCACACUCCUCUCCCACCUAAAGCUUCGGGCUGGUAGCCUGCAAGUGAGCAGGGGUUGAUGCAGUGGUGCACAGGCCCCCGCAGGAUAUGACCCAGGAUGUGAGGACCCGCAGGCUGGAGGAGAGAUAUGCAGAGGUGAAAGGGCAAACCUGUUUCCAGUCUCCUUAUCAGGAGUAGCCGAGUGAAAGGGAAGUGGCAGCCCCGGAGGUCAGGCUGGGGGGUUGUGGCUGGGGCAAGGCUAGGCUAGGUCUCCUGAGAGGAGACCCCGCUGGGCAGGGAAGAAAGAGAAAGGGGGUGUGGAGGAAGGGCCAGGGAGGGAAAGGGCUGGGAGCACUGACUGUAUGGCCCAUUCCCAAGGGGAGGAGCAGCAGGGUGACCAGCCACCCAGGCUUGCCCCAGACUGAGAAGCCUCCCAGGACACAGAAGUUCCCAUUAAAUACUGGGAUGGUUGGUCACCCAGGAAGCAGCCCUGGCUAGGGGACUGUCAGAACCCAGCCACCUGCACCCCCUCCAGAGUCCCAGGCUCAACCACCACCUUGUCUCAAUGCCUUCUUACUUCUCCCCCUUAGUUAUUCAUUCAGCAAACAUUAACAAAAUGCCUACUGUGUGUCAGGCCUGCUGCCAGGCUCUGGGAAUUCAGCAGUGAAACGACAGGCAUGCUCUCUGCUAUCCCAGAGCUUGGAGAUUAUGCUUCCUUCAAAGCCACAAGGGACACUUACUCCCCUGCUGCCUGCCCCACCAGCCCAUCCCCCGGGGCAUGUUUCUAGGGAGCCCUCCCUCAACAGUCUUAGGUGGUCCACACACAGAACUGCCUGCCAGAGUCAGAUGAGAGCACCCGUGUGGGGUCCACAGACACACGUGGGGAUGGUGUCUAAAUCACUGUCCCACCUGCCAUGGUGCCUUGCAUAGGGCCCUGUGCAGGGAGGUGCUUAAUACAUGUCUUUUGGUUGAGGAGCUAAGGUGUUGAGGGCCAGCUGGAGAUGGGGGUCCCUCGGUCACCUGUCAAUGCUCGCAGCCUCCCGCCACCACUGCCAGCACCCACCCAUAUGCGCAGGGCACGCCUCAUUGUCAAGCAGCAUUCUCCCUGCCCCAGCACAGUGGGGCUGACCUGUCCUCUCCUCAGCUGGGGAAAGUAGGCAGGCCUGUGGGCAGACCCCAGUCUAGCGUGGGGGUGGGGGUCCCCAGGAUGGAGGAGUGGGACAGGAGCUGGUUUGUCUUCCCUGAGCAGAGAGGCCUUGGCCUUGGGCUCCAGCAUCCUGUUCCCUCAGAGGUCCCACAUGAAGAGAAGCCACAAGAGUCAAUAUGCCUCAUGUGUGCCUGGGGGCUUCUUGCGGAGGCAGAGCCAAGCCUAGGCUCCUUCGGCCUCGGUCCUUGCCAGUGGAGAAGCCAGUGGGGACCCUGGGCAGAAGCUAAGUAGGUGAAACACACAGAGACGUGCUGUGGGGGCAAGGAAGUGGAGCAGUGCUGGAAGAGACUUGGGGUUCCAGCUACAACUCCAACAGACUCCUCUCCCCAGUUAAGGAGUAGGGGAUUGUAUCAUUGAAGCCACUGAGGGACCAUAAGCUUCUUGCAGGUGGGGGCCACAGGGCAGUGCUUACAGUAAGCUCUCCACCCUUUAUGUGGAAAAUAAGCCUGGCCCUCAGACAGCAGAGCCCCAUGUUUCUGUCCUGCACCCUGGUGGCGUUUUAUCAUAUUGCAACUCAUGGGAUAUUACAGAAGAGGGAGUAUGAGCUCAGCCCAGUGGACGCCCGUCUUUGGGGUCUGGCUUUGAGAUAUCAUUAGGAUGGGAUUCCUGAGUGUUCUGGGAAUAGCUGGAACCCAGCCACUCCCAACCAGCUGGGGCGUGGGAGAAAAGAGCAGGACUCGGGAAGACCAUGCCAGAGAAAAGGGUAGCAUGCGAUCCGGUACACUCUCUAUCCACAGGCCACAGACACACAGGAAAGGCACAGAAGACACCCUGGGACAGGGUAGGGGGACGUGGUGGAGGGCGGGAGGGGUAAAUGGAAACUCAGGUGUCCAGAAUUGGAUUAUGGC